GCUUUGGUAGCUCAGUCGGAAGAGCGUCAGUCUCAUAAUCUGAAGGUCGAGAGUUCGAACCUCCCCCAGAGCA
This is a transfer RNA of 73 nucleotides. It matches the Rfam family "tRNA". From Rfam's summary of the family: Transfer RNA (tRNA) molecules are approximately 80 nucleotides in length. Their secondary structure includes four short double-helical elements and three loops (D, anti-codon, and T loops). The record is from Rfam.